This 253-nucleotide ribosomal RNA is filed under the name uncultured bacterium. Its description in RNAcentral is "partial 16S ribosomal RNA". It matches the Rfam family "Bacterial small subunit ribosomal RNA", at positions 524 to 776 of the family's 1533-position model. The record is from RNAcentral.
UACGAAGGUGGCAAGCGUUGUUCGGAAUUAUUGGGCGUAAAGGGUGCGUAGGCGGUUUGGUAAGUCUUAUGUGAAAUCUACAGGCUCAACUUGUAGUCUGCAUGAGAAACUGCCGGGCUUGAGUAUGGGAGAGGUGAGUGGAAUUCCUGGUGUAGCGGUGAAAUGCGUAGAUAUCAGGAGGAACACCUGUGGCGAAAGCGGCUCACUGGACCAUAACUGACGCUGAUGCACGAAAGCUAGGGGAGCAAACAGG